Molecule: transfer RNA, 73 nt
Filed under: Candidatus Woesearchaeota archaeon
Lineage: Archaea; Nanobdellati; Candidatus Woesearchaeota
Description: tRNA-Gln
Rfam family: tRNA
About the family: Transfer RNA (tRNA) molecules are approximately 80 nucleotides in length. Their secondary structure includes four short double-helical elements and three loops (D, anti-codon, and T loops). Further hydrogen bonds mediate the characteristic L-shaped molecular structure. tRNAs have two regions of fundamental functional importance: the anti-codon, which is responsible for specific mRNA codon recognition, and the 3' end, to which the tRNAs corresponding amino acid is attached (by aminoacyl-tRNA synthetases). tRNAs cope with the degeneracy of the genetic code in two manners: having more than one tRNA (with a specific anti-codon) for a particular amino acid; and 'wobble' base-pairing, i.e. permitting non-standard base-pairing at the 3rd anti-codon position.
Source: RNAcentral
AGCCCUAUCGUAUAGCGGUCAAGUAUAUCGGACUCUGACUCCGAGGACGGCGGUUCGAAUCCGCCUAGGGCUA